Molecule: ribosomal RNA, 255 nt
Filed under: uncultured bacterium
Lineage: Bacteria
Description: partial 16S ribosomal RNA
Rfam family: Bacterial small subunit ribosomal RNA
Source: RNAcentral
CGGAGGGUGCAAGCGUUGUCCGGAUUUAUUGGGUUUAAAGGGUGCGUAGGUGGUUUUCUAAGUCUGGUUUGAAAGCAAGCGGCUUAACCGUUUGAUGUGGCUGGAAACUGGGGGAACUUGAAUGGGUUGGCGGUAGCCGGAACGGGUCAUGUAGCGGUGAAAUGCAUAGAUAUGACCCAGAACACCGAUUGCGAAGGCAGGCUACUACGACUUGAUUGACACUGAGGCACGAGAGCAUGGGUAGCGAACAGGAUU